This 738-nucleotide long non-coding RNA is filed under the name Mytilus galloprovincialis (Mediterranean mussel). The record is from RNAcentral. Lineage: Eukaryota; Metazoa; Mollusca; Bivalvia; Mytilida; Mytilidae.
AUAAAAGCUAUCAAUCUAACCACCUGCGGUCAAGAACUUUGCCGUAGGGGGGUGGCAGUAAAGCCACUGCUGCCACCACCCGUAAUGGACAAAAAUGAAAAAUUUGGUAUGGGGUUGUCAGCUUCUGGUGCACUUUCCCACCCGGGCAUUUUCAUGAAUAAAAGGGUCUGGGACAAGCUUUCAAUCCCACUAGGUGUGGGUAAAAACUUUGCCGUAGGGAACUGUACAGAAAGAGUGAAAAAAUGAGCCCAUACCCAUUACUGUAUAGGUACCUCAGACUUUGGAUGGACAGUGAAGUCUUCAGGUGCACUUUCCCACCCUGGAAUUGAUACGAGUUGAAGAUAUGGAUAAAAGCUAUCAAUCUAACCACCUGCGGUCAAGAACUUUGCCGUAGGGGGUGGCAGUAAAGCCACUGCUGCCACCACCCGUAAUGGACCAAAAUGAGAAAUUGAGAGUGUUGUUGUCAGCUUCUGGUGCACUUUCCCACCCGGGCAUUUUCAUGAAUAAAAGGGUCUGGGACAAGCUUUCAAUCCCACUAGGUGUGGGUAAAAACUUUGCCGUAGGGAACUGUACAGAAAGAGUGAAAAAAUGAGCCCAUACCCAUUACUGUAUAGGUACAUCAGACUUUGGAUGGACAGUGACGUCUUCAGGUGCACUUUCCCACCCUGGAAUUGAUACGAGUUGAAGAUAUGGAUAAAAGCUAUCAAUCUAACCACCUGCGGUCAAGAACUUUGCCGU